AUUGAACGCUGGCGGCGUGCCUUACACAUGCAAGUCGAACGGUAACAGGUCUUCGGAUGCUGACGAGUGGCGAACGGGUGAGUAAUACAUCGGAACGUGCCUAGUAGUGGGGGAUAACUACUCGAAAGAGUGGCUAAUACCGCAUGAGAUCUACGGAUGAAAGCAGGGGAUCGCAAGACCUUGUGCUACUAGAGCGGCCGAUGGCAGAUCAGGUAGUUGGUGGGAUAAAAGCUUACCAAGCCGACGAUCUGUAGCUGGUCUGAGAGGACGAUCAGCCACACUUGGACUGAGACACGGCCCAGACUCCUACGGGAGGCAGCAGUGGGGAAUUUUGGAAAAUGGGCGAAAGCCUGAUUCAGCAAUGCCGCGUGAAGGAUGAAGGCCUUCGGGUUGUAAACUGCUUUUGUACGGAAAGAAAAGCCCCGGGUUAAUACCCUGGGGUCAUGACGGUACCGUAAGAAUAAGCACCGGCUAACUACGUGCCAGCCGCCGCCGUAA
Molecule: ribosomal RNA, 498 nt
Filed under: uncultured bacterium
Lineage: Bacteria
Description: partial 16S ribosomal RNA
Rfam family: Bacterial small subunit ribosomal RNA
Source: RNAcentral